GCUUAACCGGAGAAGUGCAUCGGAAACUGGGAGACUUGAGUGCAGAAGAGGACAGUGGAACUCCAUGUGUAGCGGUGGAAUGCGUAGAUAUAUGGAAGAACACCAGUGGCGAAGGCGGCUGUCUAGUCUGUAACUGACGCUGAGGCUCGAAAGCAUGGGUAGCGAACAGGAUUAGAUACCCUGGUAGUCCAUGCCGUAAACGAUGAGUGCUAAGUGUUGGAGGGUUUCCGCCCUUCAGUGCUGCAGCUAACGCAUUAAGCACUCCGCCUGGGGAGUACGACCGCAAGGUUGAAACUCAAAGGAAUUGACGGGGGCCCGCACAAGCGGUGGAGCAUGUGGUUUAAUUCGAAGCUACGCGAAGAACCUUACCAGGUCUUGACAUCUUCUGCCAAUCUUAGAGAUAAGACGUUCCCUUCAGGGACAGAAUGACAGGUGGUGCAUGGUUGUCGUCAGCUCGUGUCGUGAGAUGUUGGGUUAAGUCCCGCAACGAGCGCAACCCUUAUUAUCAGUUGCCAGCAUUCAGUUGGGCACUCUGGUGAGACUGCCGGUGACAAACCGGAGGAAGGUGGGGAUGACGUCAAAUCAUCAUGCCCCUUAUGACCUGGGCUACACACGUGCUACAAUGGACGGUACAACG
Molecule: ribosomal RNA, 637 nt
Filed under: uncultured bacterium
Lineage: Bacteria
Description: bacterial SSU rRNA
Rfam family: Bacterial small subunit ribosomal RNA
Source: RNAcentral